UACGUAGGGGCCUAGCGUUGUCCGGAUUUAUUGGGCGUAAAGAGCUCGUAGGCGGUUUGGUGAGUCGGGUGUGAAAUCUCCACGCUCAACGUGGAGGGGCCACCCGAUACUGCCAUGACUAGAGUCCGGUAGGGGAGUGCGGAAUUCCAGGUGUAGCGGUGAAAUGCGUAGAUAUCUGGAGGAACACCGGUGGCGAAGGCGGCAUCCUGGACCGAUACUGACGCUGAGGAGCGAAAGCCAGGGGAGCAAACGGG
RNAcentral lists this ribosomal RNA (254 nucleotides) under uncultured bacterium. Its description in RNAcentral is "partial 16S ribosomal RNA". It matches the Rfam family "Bacterial small subunit ribosomal RNA", at positions 524 to 776 of the family's 1533-position model. The record is from RNAcentral.